This 505-nucleotide ribosomal RNA is filed under the name Didymella glomerata. Its description in RNAcentral is "eukaryotic LSU rRNA". The stretch from base 146 to 299 matches the Rfam family "5.8S ribosomal RNA". Lineage: Eukaryota; Fungi; Ascomycota; Dothideomycetes; Pleosporales; Didymellaceae. The record is from RNAcentral.
CAUUACCUAGAGUUGUAGGCUUUGCCUGCUAUCUCUUACCCAUGUCUUUUAAGUACCUUACGUUUCCUCGGCGGGUCCGCCCGCCGAUUGGACAAUUUAAACCAUUUGCAGUUGCAAUCAGCGUCUGAAAAAACUUAAUAGUUACAACUUUCAACAACGGAUCUCUUGGUUCUGGCAUCGAUGAAGAACGCAGCGAAAUGCGAUAAGUAGUGUGAAUUGCAGAAUUCAGUGAAUCAUCGAAUCUUUGAACGCACAUUGCGCCCCUUGGUAUUCCAUGGGGCAUGCCUGUUCGAGCGUCAUUUGUACCUUCAAGCUCUGCUUGGUGUUGGGUGUUUGUCUCGCCUCUGCGUGUAGACUCGCCUCAAAACAAUUGGCAGCCGGCGUAUUGAUUUCGGAGCGCAGUACAUCUCGCGCUUUGCACUCAUAACGACGACGUCCAAAAGUACAUUUUUACACUCUUGACCUCGGAUCAGGUAGGGAUACCCGCUGAACUUAAGCAUAUCAU